AGGUUCCACUCCAGGUGAGCACUGCAGAGUAGCCAUAGAAAUUAGCACACAAUACAGAAAUAAAAUUUUUUAAAAAUUAAAGAAUUGGCCAGAAAUAAAUGUACCUGUACACCAACACAAAAUAUGCAGUAGUAGCAAACAAACAAUCAGAGAGACAGAUACUUGCUGGAAACAAGGUCAAAGAACAUUCAAUACCAGUCAUAUUACAUACUAUAUGUUAUCAAUCCAAGUCCAAGGAAAUUGCUUCCAGGAUAGAAACAAAUGAUUUGAAAAAGGAAAAUCUAUGUUGUGAGCGAGGAUAUUGUCCAAUUUGGAUAAUUUUCACUGGAAGCAAAUUAUGGAGCAAACAGAAAAAAAAUUAAAUGGGUUGUCUUACAGAACUACAAUUAUAUCAUCCAGAAGUUGUGUAUAAGCAAGUGAAACUAAAAGUUCAGACUUCAGACCAGUGUUUAUGUAAUAAAUGCAGUGAGACAGAGAUAUAGAAAGAGAGAUUUCCUUUAUAAAUACAAAUGCAACUCUCCUCAUAAUAACUUAACCAAUCAACUAAUCGAUGCAAUCAUUAGUGGAGAAUGUUAUUAAUAAUAUCGCAGUUUCAAAUAUUAAUCACUAGUAUGCUUGAAAUGCCUCAAUCAAAACAUUAUAGUUUAAGAUCAUUAUAGUAAUUAUUUUCAGGAAUGCCAACAGAUUCA
This 689-nucleotide unclassified non-coding RNA is filed under the name Hevea brasiliensis (rubber tree). Lineage: Eukaryota; Viridiplantae; Streptophyta; Magnoliopsida; Malpighiales; Euphorbiaceae. The record is from RNAcentral.